UCCAACCUGCCGCCAAGUGGAAAUAGUCUGUGUGGCGCUCGUAAAUAGAGAGCAUUCUGGUAGAAAGGUACAUGAAAGAAUAGGAAAACUUCUGUCAUUUUCUUUGGUCUCUGAAAAAUAAAUGGUGACAUGGGCUGAUACAUUGCUAAAUUACAUGAUACAAACUCACUUCUCUAUUUUGAUUUUUGGUUUACUUCUUGUGCUACAAUGGCUCUCCUAGGAAUGUUCUUCCAUGCUUUGAUGUGCACAAUCCAGAAAGUGCAUGCAUCUAGAAACCAAAUAGGAUUUUUUGUGUGUUAUCUUCUCAUAAAUCUUGUGCUCGUCCAAUAAGAAUAAGGUUUGGUGGUAUUGCUUUUGCCUGUCACCCGAUAGAUUUCAAGACUUCAAGCUAGCUACAGUUAUUUGAGGUUAUAUGUGAAAAUCCUUGGUGUGACAUGAUUGGUAACUAACCAUGAAUACGUUGCAAUCUGAUAUGUCUAAUUCUUGAUUUAUGUGGUACCAUGGUCUAAAAUUGGUCCUAAAGAUACAUGAUGUUUUUGUACAAAGUUGAGACAGUUAUUUUGGAACAGAGGGAGUAUUGGAUUAUUGUGUUCCCUUUUAAUUUGGUUCUAAAGAUAUAGUUUCAGAGUGAUCAUUUUGCAUCAGCCAAGCUUGCCGUUGUUACAAAUAAUUGUUCUGUUGUCCUCAAUUCACUUUCUCGGUUUUUUAGUGCUACAAGCAUUAUUGUUCCAGUUUUUUUAGUUAUUGAUCAUGCCAUUUUUCUUUCUUCCUUUGUAGCUGGGAGAUUAGUGAGACUGGCUAAAUUCUGAACAUGUUCCAUGUGAGAGAAAUAGCAUGUUGAUUUCAUCUUGAAAUAAUCAUAGCUGAGGGACGAGGUUCGUAACUGAGGGUCAUGUGCAGAGCUGGAGGAAGAAGUUGCGAGGCUUGGAACUCUCCUUGUGAAGGGCUCACGGACAACAGUGAGGACAAUGCCUCUUUAGUGGUAAUUGUGAUACUCCUGAUGUGCAAGUAAACACUCAUGUGAUACUCCUUAUGCUAAAAUGUUGGUUGUUAGUACAGAGGUGGUGACAUUAUUUGGUUCACUGGUAU
Molecule: long non-coding RNA, 1089 nt
Filed under: Triticum aestivum (bread wheat)
Lineage: Eukaryota; Viridiplantae; Streptophyta; Magnoliopsida; Poales; Poaceae
Description: long non-coding RNA (TAES_LNC013530)
Source: RNAcentral